ACGGUGGUGGUUCAGUGGUAGAAUUUUCACCUCGUAUGUGGGAGACCGGAGUUCAAUUCCCAGCCAAUGGU
This 71-nucleotide transfer RNA is filed under the name Loxodonta africana (African savanna elephant). It matches the Rfam family "tRNA". From Rfam's summary of the family: Transfer RNA (tRNA) molecules are approximately 80 nucleotides in length. Their secondary structure includes four short double-helical elements and three loops (D, anti-codon, and T loops). Further hydrogen bonds mediate the characteristic L-shaped molecular structure. tRNAs have two regions of fundamental functional importance: the anti-codon, which is responsible for specific mRNA codon recognition, and the 3' end, to which the tRNAs corresponding amino acid is attached (by aminoacyl-tRNA synthetases). tRNAs cope with the degeneracy of the genetic code in two manners: having more than one tRNA (with a specific anti-codon) for a particular amino acid; and 'wobble' base-pairing, i.e. permitting non-standard base-pairing at the 3rd anti-codon position. The record is from Rfam by way of RNAcentral. Lineage: Eukaryota; Metazoa; Chordata; Mammalia; Proboscidea; Elephantidae.